CCAAGGAGUUUAACACUCAUGCAAGCCUGAUGGCUGGUGUAAGCUAGAAGGCGCAAUGAAAGUGAAUGCUUGAGGCUGUGCGUAUUUGUGUGGCUGCAAAGCAAGCCUGUCGUUUUGGCAGAGCUGGAGUAUGAUUGUUAAGACCCGAAAGAUGGUGAACUAUGCAUGAGCAGGCUGAAGCCAGGGGAAACUCUGGUGGAAGGCUGUUGCAAUUCUGACGUGCAAAUCGAUUGUCAAACUUGUGUAUAGGGGCGAAAGACUAAUCGAACCAUCUA
Molecule: ribosomal RNA, 275 nt
Filed under: Labidognathia longicollis
Lineage: Eukaryota; Metazoa; Gnathostomulida; Bursovaginoidea; Mesognathariidae
Description: partial 28S ribosomal RNA
Rfam family: Eukaryotic large subunit ribosomal RNA
Source: RNAcentral